RNAcentral lists this long non-coding RNA (1478 nucleotides) under Homo sapiens (human). RNAcentral's name for it is "HSALNT0003902". The record is from RNAcentral. Lineage: Eukaryota; Metazoa; Chordata; Mammalia; Primates; Hominidae.
CCGGCAGUAGUACCUACUUUUUAAAGUGUAAGCAAGGAAAGUUGGCCCGCACCUGUAGUCCCAUCUACCUGGGAGGCUGAGGUGGAAGAAUUGCUUGAGCCCAGUUGGUCGAGGCUGCAAUGAGCCUUGAUCACGCCACUGCACUCCAGCCUGGGCAACAGAACAAGACCCUGUCUCAAACAAAAAAGUGUAUGUAAGAAUAAAAAUUAAUAGAUUAGGCACAGGAUGGGUGUUUAAUUCUCGGCAAUCACCACUAAGUUUUCAUACUGAGGCUUAUUCAUUCCAUGGGCAAAACAUUGCGCUAUGUGUGGUGCCUGGGGUGGGCUCCAAAUUCCAGUCCUCUCCUCGCUUGCGAUAGCUGUGUGAUCCAUUCCUAAGUUUCCUUAUUUGUCCACAGAGCGUACACAGGGUUUUUAUGAAAACUAGAUCAGAUAAUCAGACACAGUUAAAAUAGCACGCGCUCAGUAAAAUUACAUAUUAGUGGAAGAGACAAGCCUUGAAUAAAUCGCCUUUCGGGGAGUAUGACCCCCUCCCCGAAACCCACUCAGGCGCUGCUCGCUCGCACGCCCACUGAGCUCGGAGCGGAGCCCGAGCCCUUUCCCAGCACACAGGGUUCAUUUCCAGACUGAAAGACAUCCCAGAGACAACUCCAGAGGCCAAGGCGGGUCGGCUUCCUGCGUGGGCCCAGCGCCGGGCACUGAAAGCGCCCUUUCUCCCCGCCGCAUUCCCGGUGUCGACUUACUAGCUGCAAGCCUCUGCCUGCCUUCCUGCGCGCCGUUCCCCGCUAGUCGCUGCUGCUGGCGCGCACUCGCCGGGUUUUUCCUCCCACGGCCUCGAGAUGGUGGUGAAUGUGGCACGGAGGAGCCGGGCCUUCCAACCCGGUGGGCCCGAGCUCCGAAAGGCCCCCUCGGCAGUGAGAGGGGCGGGAGCCCGCGGGGGCCGCGCCCUUCUCUCGCUUCGGACUGCGCAACGCUGCGCUCUGGGCUGACAGGCGGAUAAAACGGUCCCAUCAAGACUGAGAAAAAGCACACCAGCUAUUGGCACAGCGUGGGCAGUGGGGCCUACAGGAUGACUGACUUAGUCUACAGAGAUCCCGGCGUACUUAAGCAGAUGAAGACUCUUAAGAUGACAGAAGGUGAUUUUUCUGGUGAUCGAGGACUUCCGGGGUAAUGACAGUGAUGAAAUGCAGGGGACCUGGUUGCCCCCAAGUUUCCUGGCAGUGUGUGAUACUGAGGAGAUUCAUGUUACAUGUAAAGCUGUCCUCAUUUGUGACUAUGGACCUAUGGAGUUGGGACAAUCUCUAUGGGAAGCAGAAGGCAAGGACCCCGGUCAUUUUAGGUAGAAACAACAGCAUGCUAAUGCAAAAAAUUAUGCAGUGUGCUACUGAACUUCAGAGGUGAUCAAUAAAAGAAGAAUAAAAAGACUAAUAAAAGUAUAUUUGUGUUUGUAUUUUUUUGUAGAGACCGAACUGGUCUCUU